Molecule: ribosomal RNA, 442 nt
Filed under: uncultured bacterium
Lineage: Bacteria
Description: partial 16S ribosomal RNA
Rfam family: Bacterial small subunit ribosomal RNA
Source: RNAcentral
CCUACGGGUGGCUGCAGCGAGGGAUUUUGCGCAAUGGGCGAAAGCCUGACGCAGCAACGCCGCGUGAGGGAUGAAGGCCUUAGGGUUGUAAACCUCUUUUACAGGGGAAGAAGUUCUGACGGUACCCUGUGAAUAAGCCACGGCUAACUACGUGCCAGCAGCCGCGGUAAUACGUAGGUGGCAAGCGUUGUCCGGAUUUACUGGGCGUAAAGCGCGCGCAGGCGGCUUGUUAAGUCUGCUGUGAAACCUCCCGGCUUAACUGGGAGCAGCCAGCGGAUACUGGCAGGCUUGAGGCGGGCAGAGGAUGGUGGAAUUCCCGGUGUAGUGGUGUAAUGCGUAGAUAUCGGGAGGAACACCAGUGGCGAAGGCGGCCUUCUGGGCUCGUCCUGACGCUGAGGCGCGAAAGCGUGGGGAGCGAACCGGAUUAGAUACCCUGGUAGUC